CAGAAUUCCUGCUCAUGUGUCAUCCUCUGACUCGGGAAGCAUGCUUUUUGGCUAUAAAUGCAGACAGCAUUACCAAAUGCUUUUUUUUUUUUUUACACCAAAUGCUUUUUUUUUUUUUUUUUUUUUNNNNAUACUAGUGCAGUUUCACAUUUUAUAUGGCAUUCAUAUGUAUGGGUUGCAUUUGUAAUUUGUAAUUGGCUUUGUUGUUUUCCCUGUUGUAAUCAUUCUCUUAAAAGCAAUAUCAGAC
This 247-nucleotide unclassified non-coding RNA is filed under the name Hevea brasiliensis (rubber tree). Lineage: Eukaryota; Viridiplantae; Streptophyta; Magnoliopsida; Malpighiales; Euphorbiaceae. The record is from RNAcentral.